This 1077-nucleotide ribosomal RNA is filed under the name Staphylococcus epidermidis. RNAcentral describes it as "bacterial LSU rRNA". It matches the Rfam family "Bacterial large subunit ribosomal RNA", at positions 28 to 1101 of the family's 2925-position model. Lineage: Bacteria; Bacillati; Bacillota; Bacilli; Caryophanales; Staphylococcaceae. The record is from RNAcentral.
AUGCCUUGGCACUAGAAGCCGAUGAAGGACGUUACUAACGACGAUAUGCUUUGGGUAGCUGUAAGUAAGCGUUGAUCCAGAGAUUUCCGAAUGGGGGAACCCAGCAUGAGUUAUGUCAUGUUAUCGACAUGUGAAUUCAUAGCAUGUCAGAAGGCAGACCCGGAGAACUGAAACAUCUUAGUACCCGGAGGAAGAGAAAGAAAAAUCGAUUCCCUGAGUAGCGGCGAGCGAAACGGGAAGAGCCCAAACCAACAAGCUUGCUUGUUGGGGUUGUAGGACACUCUAUACGGAGUUACAAAAGAACAUGUUAGACGAAUCAUCUGGAAAGAUGAAUCAAAGAAGGUAAUAAUCCUGUAGUCGAAAACAUAUUCUCUCUUGAGUGGAUCCUGAGUACGACGGAGCACGUGAAAUUCCGUCGGAAUCUGGGAGGACCAUCUCCUAAGGCUAAAUACUCUCUAGUGACCGAUAGUGAACCAGUACCGUGAGGGAAAGGUGAAAAGUACCCCGGAAGGGGAGUGAAAGAGAACUUGAAACCGUGUGCUUACAAGUAGUCAGAGCCCGUUAAUGGGUGAUGGCGUGCCUUUUGUAGAAUGAACCGGCGAGUUACGAUCUGAUGCAAGGUUAAGCAGCAAAUGUGGAGCCGCAGCGAAAGCGAGUCUGAAUAGGGCGUUGAGUAUUUGGUCGUAGACCCGAAACCAGGUGAUCUACCCUUGGUCAGGUUGAAGUUCAGGUAACACUGAAUGGAGGACCGAACCGACUUACGUUGAAAAGUGAGCGGAUGAACUGAGGGUAGCGGAGAAAUUCCAAUCGAACUUGGAGAUAGCUGGUUCUCUCCGAAAUAGCUUUAGGGCUAGCCUCAAGUGAUGAUUAUUGGAGGUAGAGCACUGUUUGGACGAGGGGCCCCUCUCGGGUUACCGAAUUCAGACAAACUCCGAAUGCCAAUUAAUUUAACUUGGGAGUCAGAACAUGGGUGAUAAGGUCCGUGUUCGAAAGGGAAACAGCCCAGACCACCAGCUAAGGUCCCAAAAUAUAUGUUAAGUGGAAAAGGAUGUGGCGUUGCCCAGACAACUAGGAUGU